GAUGAAGAACGCAGCGAAAUGCGAUACGUAGUGUGAAUUGCAGAAUUCAGUAAAUCAUCGAAUCUUUGAACGCACAUUGCACCUCUCGGUAUUCCGGGAGGUAUGCCUGUUCGAGCGUCAUUUGUACCCUCAAGCUCUGCUUGGUGUUGGGUGUUUGUUCCGCCUCUGUGUGUGAACUCGCCUCAAAACAAUUGGCAGCCGGCGUACUUGUUUCGGAGCGCAGCACAUUUUGCGAUCCAGAUCAACGUACAGCGGCAUCCAAGAAGCCUUAUUUAACGCUCUUGACCUCGGAUCAGGUAGGGAUACCCGCUGAACUUAAGCAUAUCAAUAAGCGGAGGA
Molecule: unclassified non-coding RNA, 339 nt
Filed under: soil metagenome
Description: partial contains 5.8S ribosomal RNA, internal transcribed spacer 2, and large subunit ribosomal RNA
Rfam family: 5.8S ribosomal RNA (bases 1-120)
Source: RNAcentral